Molecule: ribosomal RNA, 484 nt
Filed under: uncultured bacterium
Lineage: Bacteria
Description: partial 16S ribosomal RNA
Rfam family: Bacterial small subunit ribosomal RNA
Source: RNAcentral
AUUGAACGCUGGCGGCAGGCCUAACACAUGCAAGUCGAGCGGCUGAAGGGUGCUUGCUCGUUGUUUCAGCUGCCGACUGGUGAGUAAUUCCUAGGAAUCUCGCUAUUUGUUUUGGCUUACGUCCUGACGCGGGCGCUCAUACCCCAUUCGUCCUGACGGCGUACGUGUGGAAUCUUCGGACCUUCCGCUCUCAGAUGAUCCUAGGUCGGAUUAGCUAGUUGGUGGGGUAAAGGCCUACCAAGGCGACGAUCCGUAACUGGUCUGAGAGGAUGAUCAGUCACACUGGAACUGAGACACGGUCCAGACUCCUACGGGAGGCAGCAGUGGGGAAUAUUGGACAAUGGGCGAAAGCCUGAUCCAGCCAUGCCGCGUGUGUGAAGAAGGUCUUCGGAUUGUAAAGCACUUUAAGUUGGGAGGAAGAGCAGUAAGUUAAUACCUUGCUGUUUUGACGGUACCAAAAGAAUAAGCACCGGCUAACUUCGUG